This 333-nucleotide ribosomal RNA is filed under the name uncultured bacterium. RNAcentral's name for it is "partial 16S ribosomal RNA". It matches the Rfam family "Bacterial small subunit ribosomal RNA", at positions 338 to 668 of the family's 1533-position model. The record is from RNAcentral.
CCUACGCGCGACAGCAGUGAAGAAUAUUGGUCAAUGGACGCAAGUCUGAACCAGCCAUGCCGCGUGCAGGAAGACGGCUCUAUGAGUUGUAAACUGCUUUUGUACGAGGGUAAACGCAGAUACGUGUAUCUGUCUGAAAGUAUAGUACGAAUAAGGAUAGGCUAACUCCGUGCCAGCAGCCGCGGUAAUACGGAGGAUUCAAGCGUUAUCCGGAUGUAUUGGGUUUAAAGGGUGCGUAGGCGGUCGGAUAAGUUAGAGGUGAAAUCCCGAGGCUCAACUGCGGAAUUGCCUCUGAUACUGUUCGGCUAGAGCGUUGUUGCGAUAGGCGAAAUG